This 103-nucleotide ribosomal RNA is filed under the name Pteropus alecto (black flying fox). The record is from RNAcentral. Lineage: Eukaryota; Metazoa; Chordata; Mammalia; Chiroptera; Pteropodidae.
AUCUACGGCCAUGUCACCCUGAACAAGCCUGAUGUCUGAUCUUGGAAGCUAAGCAGGAUCAGGACUGGUUAGUACUUGGAUGGAAGACCAGGUGCUGUAGGCA